This 458-nucleotide ribosomal RNA is filed under the name Rhizophagus intraradices. RNAcentral describes it as "LSU rRNA". It matches the Rfam family "Eukaryotic large subunit ribosomal RNA", at positions 358 to 668 of the family's 3401-position model. Lineage: Eukaryota; Fungi; Glomeromycota; Glomeromycetes; Glomerales; Glomeraceae. The record is from RNAcentral.
GGAAAGAUGAAAAGAACUUUGAAAAGAGAGUUAAACAGUACGUGAAAUUGUUGAAAGGGAAACGAUUGAAGUCAGUCGUACCGGCGGGUAAUCAGCCUUUUGAGCGUGAUUAUGUGGAGCGUGAGGAGUUAAACGCCUUCAUGCCUUCAUAUUCGUGCACUUUGGGUGUACUUGCUCGUGUGGUAGGUUAACAUCAAUUUCGAUCAUCAUAAAAUGGUUGGAGGAAUGUAGCUUCGAUCUCGUAUUGAAGUGUUAUAGCCUUUAGCAGAUGUGAUGAUUGGGGAUUGAGGAUUGCAACGGAUACCCUUCGGGGCUACCCGUCUGAUCUCUGAAAGUUACUCUGGUACCGAAAGCUUGCUUACGGAAUCAAAGUUGACGUUCAACAGGUUAGAACGGGUUAAAUUCGUUAAGGAUGUUGACGUAAUGGCUUUAAACGACCCGUCUUGAAACACGGACCA